This 253-nucleotide ribosomal RNA is filed under the name uncultured bacterium. Its description in RNAcentral is "partial 16S ribosomal RNA". It matches the Rfam family "Bacterial small subunit ribosomal RNA", at positions 524 to 776 of the family's 1533-position model. The record is from RNAcentral.
UACAGAGGUCCCAAGCGUUGUUCGGAUUCACUGGGCGUAAAGGGUGCGUAGGCGGUUUGGUAAGUCUCUUGUGAAAUCUAUGGGCUCAACUCAUAGUCUGCAAGGGAAACUGCCGGGCUUGAGUGUGGGAGAGGUGAGUGGAAUUUCCGGUGUAGCGGUGAAAUGCGUAGAUAUCGGAAGGAACACCUGUGGCGAAAGCGGCUCACUGGACCACAACUGACGCUGAUGCACGAAAGCUAGGGGAGCAAACAGG